GUCUACAGCCAUACCACCCUGAACACGCCUGAUCUUGUCUGAUCUCAGAAGCUAAGCAGGGUUGAAACUGAUUAGUACUUGGAUGGGAGAAUUGUGUAUUAGCCAAGAUGUGGAAU
Molecule: ribosomal RNA, 116 nt
Organism: Cebus imitator (Panamanian white-faced capuchin)
Lineage: Eukaryota; Metazoa; Chordata; Mammalia; Primates; Cebidae
Source: Ensembl